Molecule: unclassified non-coding RNA, 386 nt
Filed under: Hevea brasiliensis (rubber tree)
Lineage: Eukaryota; Viridiplantae; Streptophyta; Magnoliopsida; Malpighiales; Euphorbiaceae
Source: RNAcentral
AAAAAAGUAUUCAAUCGUCUUUCAAAAUUGACAACAAAAACUCUAUACAUUUUAUUGGAUGAAGGAACCCGACCGACCGACGAGCUGACGAUCAAUCCUACGAAUGAACGAACAGUAAAUUUCUAUCUAGCAGAUCAGAGUUAAUUCUAUUGAUCCUUCAAGCUCAAAGGGAGAACGAUGAUCAUUUAUAUUUCAUACGAUCUCUGAUCAUCUUCAGUCCAACAUAUCUUCCCAUCAUCAUAAGGGUAGCCUGAGGAUUAGUCCCUGGAGAAACACUAAAAGUGGAGCCAUCAACAACUCUAAGUGCUCCAAUACCAUUGACAUGGUAAUCACGAUCAACCACUUUCCCCACAACACAUCCUCCAUGGUAAUGCCAUAUGGUGCUA